RNAcentral lists this long non-coding RNA (296 nucleotides) under Gossypium raimondii (Peruvian cotton). RNAcentral's name for it is "long non-coding RNA (GRAI_LNC000177)". Lineage: Eukaryota; Viridiplantae; Streptophyta; Magnoliopsida; Malvales; Malvaceae. The record is from RNAcentral.
UGUAGCAGGCCCAAUUAGCCCGGGCCCGCAUGCAUAAACCAAAUAAAUAAAUAAAGUCCAAUUUUUUCACAAGCCCAAUGCACCAAAACACCCCAAACCCAAAUUAACCUAGCCCAACUCAGCAAGAAAAAAACCUAAGUAAAAAACCCUAGCUCCUUUUACUCCAGCGCCGCAACAGCCUCCAUUGUGCUCUCCGAUCGCCGCACAUUUCGGCCCCCCAUACGUGCCGUUUGCUCCACUCUUACCUGCAAAUACGGACUCAAAGAGUCCAGAGGAGAAAAACAAGCAAAACAAUU